RNAcentral lists this long non-coding RNA (1032 nucleotides) under Papio anubis (olive baboon). Its description in RNAcentral is "lncRNA (ENSPANG00000037094.1)". Lineage: Eukaryota; Metazoa; Chordata; Mammalia; Primates; Cercopithecidae. The record is from RNAcentral.
GAGGCCCAGAGAGGUUCUGGAGCUUGCCCAGGUCACAUCGCGAGUCAAUGGGGAAGGGCUGACAACAGCACUCAUGCUCGCGGUGUCCUGAGGCCCCAUCCGCUGCACCACCCAGCCUCCUCCCUUUGGCUUUCAGCCCAGCUUCCCCGUGCGUGGGAUCUGGAAAGAAGUAUCCCACUUCAGUCUACACAGCAAUGUUCCAUUGGAUCCUAUCACUCAGCCAUCUCCUUCAUCCCCCUUUCCACCCCCUCGUCUAGGUUUCCGAGAGGGAGUAGCAGGGGUGUGGCGCCCGUUUCCCCUCCCGACAGCCCCCAGACCCCCGGCCCCAUUACAGCACGUGGGCGGCGAUCCAGCAGGAGGAGGCGCAGAUCCACAGGCCGAAGGAGAUGCAGACGCGGUGGCGGGCGAAGCAGCGGUCCAGGUAGUCCCAGUCCCAGAGCGCGGGCGCGGGGCUGGGCGCCUCCCCCAUGGCGCGGCUGGGCGCUCUCCGCGGGGCCGGUGACCUGGGCGCAGCCUCCCUCGCCGCGGGCAGCCCCGAGCGCCGCCUUCUCUGGGUUCCGUUCCGCCGCGGCGGCUCCGGCCGAGCACACCGACCGCGGGCAGAGAAAAGCGCGCUCCCGGACGCGGGCGGCGGCGGCGAAGGCGCCGGAGAAAAGUUUCCGGGACCGCGCGCUCCCCACCCCUUGCGCUAUUGUCGGGGGUCGGCGGGGCGGAGGCCGCCCCCCAGCGGCGGGAGCUGGGAGCUUCCCGGGCACAAAGACGGCGGCCCCCGCCCCCCGGCCCGCGGCGGCGCCCGCUCCCCGCCGACCUCUUCGCGGUCACCCACCUCCAACAUCCUGGCCGGAGCGGGGCGGGCGGCUGGGCUCGUGGAGGGCCGAGUCCCUGCCGGUCGCUGUAAGGCACGGCGUCCCUUCCUGCAUAUUCCGCACAUUUCCUGAGCCAUCAGCAAUUAGUUGCGCUGCUGAAGCCCAUGGGUGCUGGGCGUCCCAAGGUGAAGGGGGCCUGGUCCUGAUCCCGGACAGGGCGCAGUAA